Anguilla rostrata (American eel) is the source of this 1950-nucleotide long non-coding RNA. RefSeq lists it as uncharacterized. NCBI's taxonomy places the organism in Eukaryota, Metazoa, Chordata, Actinopteri, Anguilliformes, Anguillidae. The record is from RefSeq and is a predicted model, not a curated record. The transcript has 3 exons.
UGUCCCCACUCACAGGAGAGCUCCAGGACCAGGGACAGUGCUGGCCCCACUCACCACUCACAGGAGAGCUGCAGGACCAGGGACAGCGCCGGCCCCACUCACAGCCAUGGAAUUCUGCACAUCUGGCUGAUGAAGCUGAUGAAACAGGACAGCAUCGCUACUUUACCUGGGCUGCUGGUCCUCAGCAUGGUGUCCAGGAGGACGAGGGAGAGCGCGUGCGGGCGGAUGGCUCCGCAGUAGAGACGCAAGGUUAUACGAGGCAGACAGACGGGGGGAGCAGCGGCGUUCAGAAAGACGGAUUAUCCCGCCACCGUCGGCCUGCGCUGCUCCUGAGAGGAUAAUGCAAUCUAGCGAGGAAAUUCUACCAGGAAUGAAAGAAAAACAUGGCUGCUGCGCCGGCUGUGUCCGAUGUGUAAAUGAAUAAAUAUUACUUUCCCAUCCCGCCUGAUUACGCGCUCGCCUUCCCUGACCCCCCCAGCAGCACGAUGUCUGGGGACCGGGGCGAGAAUCUCAGCGUGCCGCUGGAAUGAUUAGGAUUGGCCAGCGGGAGUCACACUGGGGCCGCCCUCUUUAGGGCCCGCCUCCGAGUCGACUGGAGAAAAAUAAUUUCAGUCUGUUUGUGCAGGUUCUGCGAUCCUCAAUCCAGAACUACACUGUAGUCCUUUCCCAAUGUCACAGUGAGCAGGUUGGCUAUCUGUGCGAACAGUGGUGUAAUCAGUGUAGUUUACCUGAUUUGUGAUCUUUAGUGGUAAUGAGGGGAAAAAUUAUUACUGCCACUGCUUUCAGUAACUGAUCCAUACUAAAUCACACAAACAAUGCUAACUCAUGAAUAAAAUUAUCAUGACCAAAAAGAAGAAUAAAUUUAGACACAACAAAAAGGAUCAAAAGACACUUCAGUCACACAACAAUAAAUUAUAGGCAGACUCAGCUUAGUCACACACAAAUGGCCGUGAGUCACAGAGACACAAUGGCAGCAGCACAAAGCACUGCAUCAAUGCAGGCCAGUUACAGGUCGCCAUGACAACAUGGCAUAUCACAAGGAUGUCAUACCUGUACCUGUUACCUUUAUCACAUGCUUUAAUGUCCACACAUCUGUAUUUGUUACCUCCAUCAUGUGAUUCUGGUUCCACACAUCUGUAUCUGUUACCCCUAUCAUGUGGUUCAGGUGGCACACACCUGUAUCUGUUACCCCUAUCAUGCGAUUCAGGUGGCACACACCUGGUUUUGUGUUCUGGAUGUUCACCACUGGCUGCGGUUCUAGAUUGUGAUCUAGAUCAGUGUAGUUUUGUGCUUUCUGGUGUCUGGAAACCUGCCCAUCAGCACUGCUGUGAUUUAUGGCUGCAUUAUCAGUCUCCUUCAGCUGAUGCUGUCGAGCCUCCGACUGCUGAUUCCUUCACACAAGUGAGCAGGAAUAAAUAAAUGUUCCGCUGGGCUGACAAAGCCUUUGAUUAAUACUGCAAUCCACACAAAGGUAGCAUUACACAGGAGACACAAUGAACUAUGUAUUGCAGUUUUUUUUUUUUAAACAAGCAAUUGUUUGCAAACUUAUAAUUGAGGAGUCAUGGCCACCUGAAAUAAUGCCUUUAAAUAUAAAAUAAUAUAAAAUAAUAUAAUAUAAUAUAAUAUAAUAUAAUUAAUUAAUGUAUAAUCUUGUACAGUAUGCUCACUUUGUUUCUGCUCUCUCCAGUUUUUAGCCUGUUAUCCCUCUCUACCUGUCUCUUAGGUACAGGCAGACAGGUGAGGUCUGUAUUCUACACAGGUGAUGUAUAUCUGCCUCUUUCUCUCCUGCGUGCAUUUUCUCUAUUCCAGAAAUUCCACGGUUGCUGCUCUUAAAAUGCAUCCAGCCUGAAUUCUUGUCCUUGGUCGUCCCGGUUGUUAUUCUCUGUGCUUCCUCAGUGUGUUUGUAUGAGGAGUGUCUCACGGGUCAGAGCUGGCCGCAGUGUGUGGGGG